This 515-nucleotide ribosomal RNA is filed under the name uncultured bacterium. RNAcentral's name for it is "partial 16S ribosomal RNA". It matches the Rfam family "Bacterial small subunit ribosomal RNA", at positions 28 to 523 of the family's 1533-position model. The record is from RNAcentral.
GAUGAACGCUGGCGGCGUGCCUAAUACAUGCAAGUCGAGCGAAUGGAUUAAGAGCUUGCUCUUAUGAAGUUAGCGGCGGACGGGUGAGUAACACGUGGGUAACCUGCCCAUAAGACUGGGAUAACUCCGGGAAACCGGGGCUAAUACCGGAUAACAUUUUGAACCGCAUGGUUCGAAAUUGAAAGGCAGCUUCGGCUGGCACUUAUGGAUGGACCCGGGUCGCAUUAGCUAGUUGGUGAGGUAACGGAUAACCAAGGCAACGAUGCGUAGCCGACCUGAGAGGGUGAUCGGCCACACUGGGACUGAGACACAGCCCAGACUCCUACGGGAGGCAGCAGUAGGGAAUCUUCCGCAAUGGACGAAAGUCUGACGGAGCAACGCCGCGUGAGUGAUGAAGGCUUUCGGGUCGUAAAACUCUGUUGUUAGGGAAGAACAAGUGCUAGUUGAAUAAGCUGGCACCUUGACGGUACCUAACCAGAAAGCCACGGCUAACUACGUGCCAGCCGCCGCAGUAA